GACGAACGCUGGCGGCGUGCUCAACACAUGCAAGUCGAACGGAAAGGCCCUGCUUUUGUGGGGUGCUCGAGUGGCGAACGGGUGAGUAACACGUGAGUAACCUGCCCUUGACUUUGGGAUAACUUCAGGAAACUGGGGCUAAUACCGGAUAGGAGCUCCUGCUGCAUGGUGGGGGUUGGAAAGUUUCGGCGGUUGGGGAUGGACUCGCGGCUUAUCAGCUUGUUGGUGGGGUAGUGGCUUACCAAGGCUUUGACGGGUAGCCGGCCUGAGAGGGUGACCGGCCACAUUGGGACUGAGAUACGGCCCAGACUCCUACGGGAGGCAGCAGUGGGGAAUAUUGCACAAUGGGCGGAAGCCUGAUGCAGCAACGCCGCGUGCGGGAUGACGGCCUUCGGGUUGUAAACCGCCUUCGCCUGUGACGAAGCGUGAGUGACGGUAAUGGGUAAAGAAGCACCGGCUAACUACGUG
This 468-nucleotide ribosomal RNA is filed under the name uncultured bacterium. RNAcentral describes it as "partial 16S ribosomal RNA". It matches the Rfam family "Bacterial small subunit ribosomal RNA", at positions 28 to 507 of the family's 1533-position model. The record is from RNAcentral.